RNAcentral lists this transfer RNA (73 nucleotides) under Danio rerio (zebrafish). It matches the Rfam family "tRNA". Rfam says of the family: Transfer RNA (tRNA) molecules are approximately 80 nucleotides in length. Their secondary structure includes four short double-helical elements and three loops (D, anti-codon, and T loops). Lineage: Eukaryota; Metazoa; Chordata; Actinopteri; Cypriniformes; Danionidae. The record is from Rfam by way of RNAcentral.
GCCCGGCUACCUCAGUCGGUAGAGCAUGAGACUCUUAAUGUUAGGGUCGUGGGUUCGAGCCCCACGUUGAGCG